CUCCAACAACAUGAGAUAUAGACAAGAAUAUUUUUAUUACUAUAUAAAUCAUGAAAAAUUGGAAACAACAAACUUAAACAAUAUAUUACAUAUCAAUACAUGAUAAAUUUAACCUAUACAACUAAUCCUCCUCAUCUGAAGACUCUCCACUAAGCCAUUCACCUUCUUCGGAGGUUUCCUCAUCUCCUACCCACUCAGCCUCUUCUUCCAUAAUAUUAACUUCUUCAAAAAUAUUUUUCGGGUG
RNAcentral lists this long non-coding RNA (244 nucleotides) under Capsicum annuum. Its description in RNAcentral is "long non-coding RNA (CANN_LNC016144)". Lineage: Eukaryota; Viridiplantae; Streptophyta; Magnoliopsida; Solanales; Solanaceae. The record is from RNAcentral.